GACGAACGCUGGCGGCGUGCUUAACACAUGCAAGUCGAACGGAAAGGCCCUGCUUUUGUGGGGUGCUCGAGUGGCGAACGGGUGAGUAACACGUGAGUAACCUGCCCUUGACUUUGGGAUAACUUCAGGAAACUGGGGCUAAUACCGGAUAGGAGCUCCUGCUGCAUGGUGGGGGUUGGAAAGUUUCGGCGGUUGGGGAUGGACUCGCGGCUUAUCAGCUUGUUGGUGGGGUAGUGGCUUACCAAGGCUUUGACGGGUAGCCGGCCUGAGAGGGUGACCGGCCACAUUGGGACUGGGAUGCGGCCCAGACUCCUCCGGGAGGCAGCAGUGGGGAAUAUUGCACAAUGGGCGGAAGCCUGAUGCAGCAACGCCGCGUGCGGGAUGACGGCCUUCGGGUUGUAAACCGCUUUCGCCUGUGACGAAGCGUGAGUGACGGUAAUGGGUAAAGAAGCACCGGCUAACUACGUG
RNAcentral lists this ribosomal RNA (468 nucleotides) under uncultured bacterium. RNAcentral's name for it is "partial 16S ribosomal RNA". It matches the Rfam family "Bacterial small subunit ribosomal RNA", at positions 28 to 507 of the family's 1533-position model. The record is from RNAcentral.